Molecule: ribosomal RNA, 107 nt
Filed under: Lodderomyces parapsilosis
Lineage: Eukaryota; Fungi; Ascomycota; Pichiomycetes; Serinales; Debaryomycetaceae
Description: Candida parapsilosis 5.8S ribosomal RNA
Rfam family: 5.8S ribosomal RNA
About the family: 5.8S ribosomal RNA (5.8S rRNA) is a component of the large subunit of the eukaryotic ribosome. It is transcribed by RNA polymerase I as part of the 45S precursor that also contains 18S and 28S rRNA. Functionally, it is thought that 5.8S rRNA may be involved in ribosome translocation.
Source: RNAcentral
AACUUUCAACAACGGAUCUCUUGGGUUCUCGCAUCGAUGAAGAACGCAGCGAAAUGCGAUAAGUAAUAUGAAUUGCAGAUAUUCGUGAAUCAUCGAAUCUUUGAACG